RNAcentral lists this ribosomal RNA (493 nucleotides) under uncultured bacterium. Its description in RNAcentral is "partial 16S ribosomal RNA". It matches the Rfam family "Bacterial small subunit ribosomal RNA", at positions 27 to 507 of the family's 1533-position model. The record is from RNAcentral.
GAGUGAACGCUGGCGGUAGGCCUACCACAUGCAAGUCGAACGGCAGCACAGUAAGAGCUUGCUCUUACGGGUGGCGAGUGGCGGACGGGUGAGGAAUACAUCGGAAUCUACUUUUUCGUGGGGGAUAACGUAGGGAAACUUACGCUAAUACCGCAUACGACCUACGGUUGAAGGAAGGGGUUCUUCGACCUUUGGCGGAUGGAAGAACCCGAUGUCGGAUUAGCUAGUUGGCGGGGUAAAGGCCCACCAAGGCGACGAUCCGUAGCUGGUCUGAGAGGAUGAUCAGCCACACUGGAACUGAGACACGGUCCAGACUCCUACGGGAGGCAGCAGUGGGGAAUAUUGGACAAUGGGCGCAAGCCUGAUCCAGCCAUACCGCGUGGGUGAAGAAGGCCUUCGGGUUGUAAAGCCCUUUUGUUGGGAAAGAAAAGCAGCAGGUUAAUACCCCGCUGUUCUGACGGUACCCAAAGAAUAAGCACCGGCUAACUUCGUG